This is a long non-coding RNA of Gorilla gorilla gorilla (western lowland gorilla), 971 nucleotides long. RefSeq lists it as uncharacterized. NCBI's taxonomy places the organism in Eukaryota, Metazoa, Chordata, Mammalia, Primates, Hominidae. The transcript has 3 exons. The record is from RefSeq and is a predicted model, not a curated record.
CGCAGGAUGGCGGAGCUUACCUUGGAUGGCCUCAGGGCCGCAGAGCGCACAGCCUACCUGGCCUCAAGGUCCGCUCCUCUUGGACAGCUUUCUGGAUCCUGGGCCCUGGCGCUGGGCACUCUUAUACGCAAAGUACAUCGAGUGAAUGCACAUCAGGCAUAUAGAAGAUCUGGCAGAAACACGUUUUCUGAUGCCCAUUUCCAGUCAGUAUUUGAAAAGAGGCUGCCACGGUUUUGAUUCUUUCCACCAAAGAUAAACAUCUUUAAUGGAUGAAAACACCGCAGGAAAGCCACCUAAGCAGAUAUGACUUCUCAACUUUUUUUAAGUGAUUUCCAUUCAUCACUAAUUCCAAACAAAACAAUUGCAAACUACCAUAAAAUUAUUAGAAAGUGAAAAUGGGAGGCAUUGGUUAAAUAUGUGUUUUGUAUGCUUCACCAUGUCCUCAAACAUAUUUAAAAAGUUAAUCCACACUUGCUUUAGAUUAAGAAAUAUGUUAACUAUUUCAGGACACUAAGGACCUUACAAAUCUGAAUUAGCUCAGAUUGGCUGCUAUCUCCUCAAUUAUUUUCUGAUAAAUAAGAAACAAACAGUAAAUAGCAACUUCCACAAAAUCUACCAGUAGUACACAAGGGCAGCCAAACUUCAAAAUUCUUGCCACUCAAACUCUAGAUGGUUACUAUUUACUAAAAUGGAAAUAAUAAAAAGACUUUUCUCAAUCUUGUCCUCCAGAAAGAAAAGCCAUAGAGUUCAAACACUAACCAAAAAAAGGGUAAGGAGAAACAUUUAUAUAUUGCUGUUCCUUUUAUUAGUGUCUUCACAUACAACACUCCUCAAUUUUAAACAGCACUUUCUUUCAGAACACAAAACCAAGACAAAAUGGUAGAAAUCAAAGGGUUACAUACAGACUUUGAUUUAAAAGGCACAACCUUUUCAAAAAUGAGAGCUAUCGAUGGAUCACUUAUGAGAACAAA